Molecule: ribosomal RNA, 371 nt
Filed under: uncultured eukaryote
Lineage: Eukaryota
Description: partial 18S ribosomal RNA
Rfam family: Eukaryotic small subunit ribosomal RNA
Source: RNAcentral
CAAUAGCGUAUAUUAAAGUUGUUGCAGUUAAAAAGCUCGUAGUUGAACUUGUGCGUGCCCCUGAUGUCCUUUUUGGUACGUUUGGGGGCGUGCAUCCUUGGGUGGAACCUGUGUGGCAUUAGGUUGUCGUGCAGGGGAUGCUCAUCGUUUACUGUGAAAAAAUUAGAGUGUUCAAAGCAGGCUUAUGCCGUUGAAUAUAUUAGCAUGGAAUAAUAAGAUAGGACCUUGGUACUAUUUUGUUGGUUUGCGCACCGAGGUAAUGAUUAACAGGGACAGUUGGGGGUAUUCGUAUUCCAUUGUCAGAGGUGAAAUUCUUGGAUUUCUGGAAGACGAACUACUGCGAAAGCAUUUACCAAGGAUGUUUUCAUUAA